GAACACCACACACAUAUGUCAAAGCUAAUCUAGAAAGAAGGAGGACUAAGAGAGGCAUUUUACUACUUAACAAGAGUGAUUCUUCAAUUUUUGGGGGAAAGGGAGGAACCAUCGAUUGUCCUGUCCUGAAGGGAGUUCCUCUUAGGUCUGGUCAGACCUUCGUAUGAAGGAUCAUUUGUUGAACUCAGUCACUGUGCUGUGAAAAAAGCCAACAUUUCCAAUGAAGAGACCACAUGGAGAAACAUGUAGAGAGGAACCAAGGCCCCUAGCUGAUAGCCAGCAUUAGCCAUCAAGCAUGUGAAUGAAUGAACCUUCAGAUGAUUCCUGCUCUCUGUCAUUGAGUCUUCCACUUGUGACCCCAGACAUGGUAGAGGAGAUACAAGCCAUCUUCACCGUGCCUGUUUGGAUUCCUGAGUCACAGAAGUUGUGAAAGAUAAGUGAUUAUUGUUGCUUUAAGUCACUAUGUUUUGUGGUAAUUUGUUACUCAGUGAUAGAUAAUGAAUACACUUGUACUUGGUAGACUGGAGCAGUGACUUGUAAUGUAUAUAUUUUUAAAUCAUAGAUUCAUUAGAAAAUUUGAUGAAAACUGAAGUGACCUCCAUGACCCCCACAUUCUGGUGUUCAUACCCAUGUAUAAUCUCCUUCUCUUAGGUGUGGGCAGGACAUUUGGCUUGCUUAUAACCAAUAGAAUAUGGCAAAGGCUUUGAGCUGUCACUUCAGUGAUUAUGUUAGCUUAUAUAAGACUUUCUCUUGCUAGCAGACUCACUCUAGCGUCUUGCUUUCCUGGUUUGUUUUGAUGAACCAAGCUGCCAUGAAUCUUACAACCACAAGGAAAUGAAUUCUGCCAACACCCAGAGUAAACUUGUAAGCAGACCCCAGUUGAGCCUGAAGAUGAGAACAGAGGCCUAGCUCACACCUUGAUGGCAACGUCACAGAGAACAUUGCUAAGCCAUGCAUAGACUUACUGACCCACCUCAACCAACUGUGAGAUAAUAAAUGCCCUGACUAAUCCACUGCCUUAUAGGAUUAUUGGGAGGACCAAUGAAACUUUUGCACAUAAAGCCUUUGGAAUAGUGCAGACACAGAGAAUCAUACAGGAUGAAUCCGAAAGAGAAGACAACAUAGAUAGGAAUGAGAACCUGUUAAGAGGCCAUUGCUACAGUUCAAACAAGAGGACUGGAGAUAAAAAAUCAGAAAAAGAAGAGGUUUCUCUAUGUUUACCAGGCUGGUCUCAAGCUCCUGUCCUCAAGUGA
This is a long non-coding RNA of Papio anubis (olive baboon), 1253 nucleotides long. NCBI's taxonomy places the organism in Eukaryota, Metazoa, Chordata, Mammalia, Primates, Cercopithecidae. The record is from Ensembl.